AUGAGGGCUGAACACAGACAAGUCACUAUGUCUCCUCUAAACUGGAUUUUCCUUGUUGCUAUUAUAAAAGGUGUCCGGUGUGAGGUGCAACUAGUGGAGUCUGGGGGAGACCUGAGGCAGCCUGAGGGGUCUCUGAGACUCUCCUGUGUAGCCUCUGGGUUCACCUUCAGUAGCAAUCACAUGAACUGGGUUCGCCAAGCUCCAGGGAAGGGACUGCAGUGGGUAUCACGUAUUAGUGCUGAUGGUAGCACAUACUACGCAGACUCCGUGAAGGGCCGAUUCACCAUCUCCAAAGACAAUUCCAAGAACAUGAUAUAUCUCCAGAUGAACAAUCUGAGAACUGAGGACACAGCCAUGUAUUACUGUGCAAGACACAGUGAGAGGAAGUCCGGAGAGCUCAGACAGAAACCUCUCUGUGAGAGCCAAGAGCAUAGGAUGCAGAUCCAGUAUAAGGUGCAGAUGGAGGUUGAAGGUGGUUUCCUGUUGUGA
This is a non-coding RNA of Elephantulus edwardii (Cape elephant shrew), 489 nucleotides long. The record is from the annotation of a RefSeq genome assembly. NCBI's taxonomy places the organism in Eukaryota, Metazoa, Chordata, Mammalia, Macroscelidea, Macroscelididae.